RNAcentral lists this ribosomal RNA (253 nucleotides) under uncultured bacterium. RNAcentral describes it as "partial 16S ribosomal RNA". It matches the Rfam family "Bacterial small subunit ribosomal RNA", at positions 524 to 776 of the family's 1533-position model. The record is from RNAcentral.
UACGAAGGGGGCUAGCGUUGCUCGGAAUCACUGGGCGUAAAGCGCACGUAGGCGGCUCUUUAAGUCAGGGGUGAAAUCCUGGAGCUCAACUCCAGAACUGCCUUUGAUACUGAGGGGCUCGAGUCCGGGAGAGGUGAGUGGAACUGCGAGUGUAGAGGUGAAAUUCGUAGAUAUUCGCAAGAACACCAGUGGCGAAGGCGGCUCACUGGCCCGGUACUGACGCUGAGGUGCGAAAGCGUGGGGAGCGAACAGG